This is a long non-coding RNA of Mesocricetus auratus (golden hamster), 304 nucleotides long. RefSeq lists it as uncharacterized. The transcript has 3 exons. The record is from RefSeq and is a predicted model, not a curated record. Lineage: Eukaryota; Metazoa; Chordata; Mammalia; Rodentia; Cricetidae.
AUCUGAUACCUUCUUCUGGCUUCCAUGGUCUCAGACCUGUGGAGAGUCAGCAUAACAGAGCAGUGGGUGCCCAGACCGUCCUGGCUCCUGGAGCUGCCCCAUUUCUGGGACACACAUAAAUCACGUUGAGUCGCCUAGGGCAGGAAGACCUACAGCCAGAACGCGGGGCACAUCUGAGGAGACACAGGCAGAGCCAGAGCUGGGGCCAAGCCGGGGAGAUGUGCAGGCACAGAUCAUUGGCUCUGACAUUUCAAGGCUUGGGCCUAUUAAUUUUUUAUGUUGCGCUACUUGUAUAUCGUUAAUA